RNAcentral lists this unclassified non-coding RNA (379 nucleotides) under uncultured Gammaproteobacteria bacterium. Its description in RNAcentral is "contains 16S-23S intergenic spacer region". Lineage: Bacteria; Pseudomonadati; Pseudomonadota; Gammaproteobacteria. The record is from RNAcentral.
UCCGAUUUGUCACCGGCAGUCUCCCUAGAGUCCUCGGCUUCACCCGUUAGCAACAGCAGGCAAGGGUUGCGCUCGUUGCGGGACUUAACCCAACAUCUCACGACACGAGCUGACGACAGCCAUGCAGCACCUGUGUUGCGGUUCCCUUUCGGGCACCGAGGUAUCUCUACCCCGUUCCGCACAUGUCAAGGGUAGGUAAGGUUUUUCGCGUUGCAUCGAAUUAAUCCACAUAAUCCACCGCUUGUGCGGGUCCCCGUCAAUUCCUUUGAGUUUAAGCCUUGCGGCCGUACUCCCCAGGCGGUCAACUUCACGCGUUAGCUUCGUUACCAAGGAAUUACUUCCCCGACAACCAGUUGACAUCGUUUAGGGCGUGGACUAC